RNAcentral lists this ribosomal RNA (505 nucleotides) under uncultured bacterium. RNAcentral's name for it is "partial 16S ribosomal RNA". It matches the Rfam family "Bacterial small subunit ribosomal RNA", at positions 28 to 507 of the family's 1533-position model. The record is from RNAcentral.
GACGAACGCUGGCGGCGUGCCUAAUACAUGCAAGUAGAACGCACAGUUUAUACCGUAGCUUGCUACACCAUAAACUGUGAGUUGCGAACGGGUGAGUAACGCGUAGGUAACCUGCCUGGUAGCGGGGGAUAACUAUUGGAAACGAUAGCUAAUACCGCAUAAUAUUGAUUAUUGCAUGAUAAUUGAUUGAAAGAUGCUAUUGCAUCACUACCAGAUGGACCUGCGUUGUAUUAGCUAGUAGGUGAGGUAACGGCUAACCUAGGCGACGAUACAUAGCCGACCUGAGAGGGGGAUCGGCCACACUGGGACUGGGACACGGCCAAGACUCCUACGGGAGGCAGCAGUAGGGAAUUUUCGGCAAUGGACGAAAGUCUGACCGAGCAACGCCGCGUGAGUGAAGAAGGUUUUCGGAUCGUAAAGCUCUGUUGUAGGAGAAGAACGGGUGUGAGAGUGGAAAGUGCACACUGUGACGGUAUCUUACCAGAAAGGGACGGCUAACUACGUG